UACUCUGUGAAAUGAUUUCUGAACUAUGAAAAUUUGUCUUUCAGACUCAUCAUCCUAGAGCAUUGAGACUGGAUAGAUUGCUUUGUUGGAAGAGCCACCCCAUCUUCGCCAGAGUGGUGUAGAACUGAGCCCCACUGCAGGCAGGCUGCUCUCCUGCUCAAAUGUCUUCAGGAUUCCUGUCAUCUUUUCUUCCGUGGAAAACCACCAUGGCCAUUCUAAUCUUCUCUGGGGUCAGUGGACUAUUGAGCUUCAAAGGUCCAAACAGUCCUCUCUCCUGUCGUGCUGCACUUACCGCGUCCUGGAUGGCGAAAAACACCGAACACCCCAGGAAUACCCCAGACUCUCCCAGACCCUGGAAGGGAAACAAGUCAACUAGAUUAUGACUCUCUCUUUCUCUCUCUGUAUAUAUAUACAUAUGUAUGUGUAUUAUGUAUAUGUGCAUCUAUAGGUACAUAUGUGCAUGUACGGGUACAUAAAAUAUUAAAUAUUACAUGUACAACUUUUUCCUUUAAAAAGCUAAGUCACUAUUUUAACCCAGUAAUCCCAUUCUUAGGAUUCCAGCCUAAGGAAAUGAUCCCAAAUGGAGAAAGCAGAUAUAGUCAUGAAGAUGAUUGCUGGCACGAAGAUGAAAAAUCAGACAACCUGAUGGUAAUAGUAGUUUGUGGGGCUUCCCUGGUGGCGCAGUGGUUGAGAAUCUGCCUGCCAAUGCAGGGGACACGGGUUCGAGCCCUGGUCUGGGAAGAUCCCACAUGCCACGGAGCAACUGGGCCCGUGAGCCACAAUUACUGAGCCUGCGCGUCUGGAGCCUGUGCUCCACAAUAAGAGAGGCCGCGAUGGUGAGAGGCCCGCGCACCGCGAUGAAGAGUGGUCCCCACUUGCCGCAACUAGAGAAAGCCCUCGCACAGAAACGAAGACUCAACACAGUCAUAAAUAAAUAAAUAAAUAAAUAAAAGAACGCGAAUUUCUUUAAAAAAAAA
Molecule: long non-coding RNA, 977 nt
Organism: Balaenoptera ricei (Rice's whale)
Lineage: Eukaryota; Metazoa; Chordata; Mammalia; Artiodactyla; Balaenopteridae
Exons: 3
Source: RefSeq, a predicted model, not a curated record